CUUGCCAAUUAUUUCAUGCUCGGUUUCAGUAAAAAUUUUGUUUGAUGUUAAAAGAAAAAUCGGUCAUCAAAGCUAUGGAAGAAAAAUAGUAGCCAUUUUGAGGACAACAGCGCUCCAUGCGCAUAACUCUUGAAUGGAAGAGCCGCCACCUUUACGAGAGGAAAUGUAUCAGCCCCACGUUUUGAAGCAGGCGCUCCAUUUGCUCCCUGCAACCUCUUCCCUUCAGUUUAGCGAAGUUUUCACCAUCACUGAAGGCUUCACUGAGCCUCUGAGCAAUUUUGUCCCACUUGGCCAGUUAUUCGGGUCUGUGGCAACUUGUCUCGCCAAAUGCAAGUCCACAAACGGCCAACGAAAUGGAGGCAUACUUGAGAAAAAUCAAGAAAAACAGCGAUGUUCACUGGAUGCAAAAUCGGAAGUACCAUUACAUAUCUUCAUUAUCAAAACAAAAGUAGUGCACUGCCAUGUUGAAUUAUCGACAGGAUGAAAGGGUUUGCGGUCAAAUUGCCUAUGACCAAACUUGCCUACGAACAAACCGGCCUACAACUGUUCAGCCAGCCAAUGUAGGCGACUUCCCCUCCUCACGCAGAACGCAAUAUUUCCUCCGCUGGAUACGCGUCAGCUUGUGGUCGGCAACAAGUCACAUCUGGGCUUCAACCAGCCUUGCUUCUCCGUUGAGUAACUGUAUGAGGACGUAGAAUGGCAGGCUGCAGCAGCCGCUGGCACGUCAAUUCAAUGUGUGAUGCCAGCCUUCAAUGUCAUUAUUUGUUCAGACUGGCUGCAUGAAGAUGGACCAGUCCUUCACGGGGAAUAUGGCAUUGUAGAUCCACUGUGAUGCAAUGUAUUCCGCCAGCUCUUUAUGUGGACCCUCAGCUCCAAGGCGUAGGCGCUCGAACUGUGUGAUUAUUUCUGUGUAUGGCAAGGAAGGAACCACUAACAACUUCUCACCCACCCAUGGGUGCCUUGAAUGACAUGAACAAGAAACUACAGCCCUUUUUAUAGCAGUCAAGUAGAUUUGAAGAUGGAUCAAAAUUGCAGCAAUGUGAUUGGCAGAUAUUAUUGGCAUUUUGGAUUCAAUAUCAUGAAGGUCUUCAAACAAUGUCGUAUUGAAGUUGAGAAAGUCUCACCUUUGCUAAGUGCUGUGCAUGGGACAUUGACAGGUUUGUAUACGUAUCAUUAAACAAUAUCCUAUUGAAGUUAAAAAAGUCUCACUGUCUUUGCUAAGUGCUGCGCAAAGGACACUAAACAAUAUCCUGUUGAAGUUGAAAAAGUCUCACCUUCUUUGCUAAGUGCCAGGCAAGGGACAUUAAACAAUAUCCUUUUUAAGGUUAAAAAAGUCACCGUCUUUGCUAAGUGCCGCGCAAGGGACAUUAAACAAUAUCCUUUUGAAGUUAAAAAAGUCACCUUCUUUGCUAAGUGCCACACAAGUGAAAGAAACAUCU
Long non-coding RNA from Stylophora pistillata, 1439 nucleotides. The record is from RefSeq and is a predicted model, not a curated record. Lineage: Eukaryota; Metazoa; Cnidaria; Anthozoa; Scleractinia; Pocilloporidae.